AUGCUUGAAAGUAGAUAACUUCAUGUCUCAGCUAAUAUAUUCCCAAAACCUAUUAAAAACAGAGAGUAAAGAUCAAAUAUCAGUAUCUCAGUUACUCAUAACCAAGAAAAACCAAGAAGCAGAUUAAUAUGAAGUUAGGUACUUCAUCUGGAACUAAAGAAACACAUUCAAGACAUUCCCCAGAAGUAAUCCAUAAAGCCAUAUAAUUCAGUGUUAUUGUGAGUCAUAAAACAUACAUGAGAACUCCGACAGGCCGGAUGACACCCAGAAUAAUCCAGGCAGAUGAUGUACAGAACUACAGCCGACACUAGAAAUAGAACAAAACAAAGUUAAACGUGUUAGAUAAUACCAUACCCAUCACAUAUUAUUCCACGACUGUUGCUGUAUAAUUAUUUUGCAAAAAACUUCAAACCUAUACAACUACAAUGUCAGAACUCACUGAGAAGAUAAUGAAGUUACAGGUAAUGUCCACUCGAAUUAUGCACGAGUAUUGACUGCAGAAAAGCAGAGUGCCCAGUUCACAUGUACCAUCGUAAGUAAUAGUAAAAAUUGAAACUGUAGUAGUGUAGAAGAAAUUACUGAAUAGAAAUUACUGAAUAGAAAAAACCAAGAGCUGGAACUAACAGUUACCCGGAUUAUGCACGAAUAUUAACUGCAGAAUAGCAAAGUGCCCAGCUCAUAUGUGCCAUCAUAAGUAAUAGCAAAAAAUUGAAACUGUAGUAGUGUAGAAUUACUGAAUAGAAAAACCAAGAGCUGGAACCUAUAGUCGCCCGAAUCAUGAGUGAGGCUAGGCUAGAUGCUUGGCAGGAUGCCACACAACCUCAAUAAUUAGCUGCACAAAAUCAAGUGCACAAUAUAACUCAUACAAGUUGAUUCAGUUUGGCAACAUCUAAAUUCCCUUCAUCUAAAUUACAUGUGCGCAAUGAAGAUAAAAUCUAACAUUUGGAGGAAUACCAACUCAAGGUUAAUAAAAAUUCAUACAAUCUUGUUAAUAAAUCUAAUUUAAUAAAGAGUAAAAUCCAAUUUUAUUUUGUAGAUGAACUUAGAAGAAAUAACCUAUUGUGUACUCUCCUAUUCCAAAAACUAAAGGGAAUUCCAAGGAUGAAGAUGAUAUCUAACCAGGAUAGGAGACUUCAUAGUAUCAGCAAAACAGUAGAGUAGCAGAUAUCUUAAAGCAAGACAAUCCUAAACAAGAUCAGAACAAAAGAGAGCCCAACUAUUCCAUGCUCCUCCUGCUGAGAUGACCAAUGUAUAACUUAGAACUUCUUCACUGUCACACCGUUAAGAAAAUAAUAUGAAGCCUCUGAAAAAAGACAGCCGAUCCAGAACUAAACCAAAAAAAUAUAACAAAACCUAGACAAGGUCCACCAUAAUAUUGAAAUCCCUCCUGCCAAUCUUUGCUCUUCCUGCUAUAAAAUCCCUUAAGAACACCCACCACAAAAAGAAUAUAGAUAAAUCUGGUUAUGGCAGUAAGAAAUAGUAGAUUCCAAACCUAAUCAUGUCACUAUAUCUAAUAGUUUCUUGCAAAACCAGCUAACCAGUGGAUGGAGGAAAAAGAAAAUACCAACAGGUAACAUAUGAUACACCCAGGAAAAGUUGUUUUACGUUUGAACUUUGAACCAAGUUCCCAAUUAUGGAGGCAGGCUCUGUGAUCAAGAGGAUAUCCAAUUAGAGUAAGGAUAAGAAGAUGCUUAAUCUUAUAUAUCAUAACAAAAAUAUGAAUAAAAUAUUAGAAGUAGAGCAGUUUAUCCAAACCAAGACGCCAAUCAUAAGAUCAAAGAUAGCCCAACCAAGCUGUCCCAAAUUUUCCAAGAACUGAUAAGAGCAAAAAGAACCCAACCAAACUUGCUUAAUAUCGUUGAAGAGAAUAUCCAAUCAGGAAUUCUUGUUGUAGAUAUAAUAUAUUAUCAUAAAACAAUGACAGAAGAAUUGCAAAUUUCUCUAAACCUAGAAGCAGAGUAGAGUUUACCCACUUAAACAGACAGCUCACUGCUAUGCAAAACUGUGAUGCGACAUGACAGGAGAUCUACACCA
RNAcentral lists this long non-coding RNA (2034 nucleotides) under Lotus japonicus. RNAcentral's name for it is "long non-coding RNA (LJAP_LNC000757)". Lineage: Eukaryota; Viridiplantae; Streptophyta; Magnoliopsida; Fabales; Fabaceae. The record is from RNAcentral.